Molecule: ribosomal RNA, 454 nt
Filed under: uncultured bacterium
Lineage: Bacteria
Description: SSU rRNA
Rfam family: Bacterial small subunit ribosomal RNA
Source: RNAcentral
AGAAUCAACGCUGGCGGCGUGCCUAACACAUGCAAGUCGAACGAGAAAGUCCGCAAGGACAAGUAAAGUGGCGACCGGGUGAGUAACACGUGACUAACCUACCUUUAGUGGGGAUAACUCCGGGAAACCGGGGCUAAUACCGCAUAACAUCGCAGGAUCAAAGCAGCAAUGCGCUGGAAGAGGGGGUCGCGGCUGAUUAGCUAGUUGGCGGGGUAAUGGCCCACCAAGGCGAAGAUCGGUAUCCGGCCUGAGAGGGCGCACGGACACACUGGAACUGAAACACGGUCCAGACUCCUACGGGAGGCAGCAGUGGGGAAUUUGCGCAAUGGGGAAACCCUGACGCAGCAACGCCGCGUGGAGGAUGAAGCCCCUUGGGGUGUAAACUCCUUUCGAUCGGGACGAUUAUGACGGUACCGGAUGAAGAAGCACCGGCUAACUCUGCGCCAGCAGCCGC